CUACAGAUGGAGGCGGUGACGUGGGUGGAGCGCAGAAUUAGCAUCGGCGGGAACUUAUGCUCGAGUGUGGCGCUGCCGGAGGGCGAAGGCGUGAGCAAGUUAGUUCCCGGCUGUGGUCCGAGUCCGGUCAUUGCUAUACCUGUGGAACCAUGACGGAAAGCAGGCGCCGGGGCCACCUAGAGCGCCAGGGCGAGCUCUGCCGCGGGGCGGGACUUCCGGUGUACGGGCCCAAAGGGUUGGCCAGAGGUCCUGAACUCACGUAGGGUCAUGACGUGAGGGGGCGUGGCCAAGAUGGCUGCGCGCAUGAAACUACUUGCCGGGACUCACCGCGGAGAUCGGUCCCGGAGAUGGGAGACUGCAUUGCUAGAAACUGAGGCUGAAGAAGCCGGAACUUCUCCGGAUCUGCGUUUUUGAUAUCUCGACUCUGUCAGGGGAAUGGAUACUCACCGGGCAUCUUCAGGAUAGGCAUCGGCAGCACAGCUGUGUCCGGAACACAAGUUUGAGCCUUUCCACGCCUCAGUUUCUUAUAUCCUUUUUCUUUUGUGCCCUACACCAGAGCGAGAGAAGAGAAACUUUGAGCAGUUUCAAGAAGCUCAGAGUCUAGUCUAUCCUGUUUGAAGUUGUCAUUUUUUGUAAGGUGCAUCCAUACACUGCAGUUUUUCUGUGGGUCUCAGCUUGUCCAGAGUUUGGAUUUUAACGUUAGCAAGCAGUUCAGGGUUAAUUCUUGCUGGCCAAUUUGUAAUCAUGUGCCCUACUUUAAACAUGAAAAAUCAGGGGAAUUGGUAGAUUUUUUUUUUCACAUCCCUCACAUUCCUUUCUUGGAAAUUAAAUCCAGAUCAUGCUAACGCCACAGAAAAGGGAUUAAUUAUAUAUAGGAGGUAAUCAUUUUCCUUAAAUACUUAUUUUAAUUUACGCGUGCGUGAGUGCUUCUGUUUGUGUCUACUGAGGUCAGAAGAGGGCAUUAGAUCACCUGGAGCUGCAGUCCCAUACAGUUGCCAGCAGCCUGACUGUGAGCACUGAGACUUGAACUUAGAUCCUCCUUGACCACAGAGCCAUCUCGGCCCCAGGAGAGCUGCUUACAGAGCAUUCCUGUGCGCACCUCACCGAGUUCGAACUCAAAAAGUGUGGAAGUGGAAGCCUUUGGUAUUUUGUCUUUGGAGAUCAGCUUCUUUGUGAACUCCUGCUUACCUGUAAAGGUUCAAGUCUCCAGGUGAAAAAAAGGUGAGUCUGAUAGCAGGGCCCUGCUGUCUCUCUUUAGACCAGUGAUACUCAACCUGUGAGUUGUGACCCCUGAGGGGGCCGGGGCAUCACUCGAGACCAUCUGAAAACAGUACAAUUCAUAACAGUAGCAAAAUACAGUUAGGAAGUAACAACAGAAAUAAUUGUAUGGUUGGGGGUCGCCAAACAUGUGAAACUGUAUUAAGAGUGUCUCUUCUACCCCCAAGGCUUCAGCAGAGAAACACUGUUCUAGGGAUUUGACUUUGGCACAGCUGCAUUCUUACUGUGUAAAGUCCUUAGUGGUAGGGCAUAAUACAGAGCUUCUGUCCAUUUAUGUUGCUCCUACUUUUAUUCUUGGCCCUGAUCUACCCAUCCAUGAUAUUCUAAAAGGAAAAGAACUGGAUCGCUGUGGUAAGGAAGAUGAGGCAGGGAAAGACAGGCUCUAUUGGAACAGUGAAGGGCCACAACCUUCCUGUGGGAUGAGGCUGUGCACUCAGGGAGCCUUUGAGGCAGGCAUAUACCAGGGAGUCUUGGGAUAGAGCAGGAGCCCAUGGGUUAAAGUUGACUUUGCCCACAGGAAUAGAGGCAUUGCUGGGGUGAUGAACAGCCAGAGAAUCGUUAGCAUGUUAUAUCCCUCCAGUGGUGCUUUUGGUACCAUCCUAUCUCAAUUGUGAGACCUUCCCCCAUUGGUGUUGUUUUGUUAUCUUUAGUUCCCAGAAGAUGCCCUGUCUGUUCUCCCCAUUUAGUCCCUGACAUAGAACCCCCCUGCCUUGUCCUUCUGCGGGAGCCCCAUUCCACACCCUAGGUGAGGAGAAGUCUAGGCAUUUCCAGAUUGUGAGAAAGGACCAGUGUUCUGCACCAUCAUUUUUGUUUCAAUUGGCCUUGCACAAUGGCUGGGUGGGGUUCAGUGGUGCAGCACUUUCAGUGUUGGCCAGGAGGACUAUUAGUUGGUAGUUAGCACUAGCUUUAUAGUUUUCUAUGCACCAUCUGAAAGAGAGAAGACAGAGUCCUAAAAGUAGACAGUUAGUUUUAUUGACUAGCUCCCCCUUCACCACCCUAUGGUACUAAGGCAGCCUCCCAAGCUAGUUGAGGGUGGGUAGCAUUUCCCACCCUUCAGGGUCAUUUGGAGUCACAUCCAUCCAGGUCAGGAGUUUUUGGAGCUGGAAGGCUAGCAGUGGGGCUCAGAAACUAAAGGGGGUUCUGGGUCUGGAAAGGUGGUUGAAAAGGCAGCAUAAUAUUGAAGUGAAGAAACAAUCUGUUUGAGAGAGAAGAAUUGGAACACUCUUUGUGGGGAAAGGAUAUCAGGUCUCCAGGGCCAGGAUCCACAAAAGGUCUUCCUUGAGCACUUCCAGGAAAAGCAGAGAUUAAGAUGUGCUCAGGGGCAAAGCGGUUGGUGAGAGUUCCUCAGUGAUUGGUGGGACCUGGGAAGGAAGCAGGAAGCAGGAAGCCUGGUGGGGCUUAGGGAUGUAGAGCAAAACUGUGGGGAAGCCUUCUUGAGCCUGGAGAGUUGGACCCAGGAGCUAACAUUAUUUAAUUUAACUAAAGUUGGGGUGAAUAGAAUGACUUUGUGAGGGUUCUGCCAUUUAGGAGUUAGAGAGAAAUGGAAUGGGUCAGAGGCACUUGUCUCCUUUGGGGGCAUUGGGUAGAGUAGAGGGUAGGAUGGAGUCAGUAUGUUUCCAAAGCUCUGUACAGGAAGGACAGGAGACUGAGAUAGGGAAGGAGGGAGUUCGGGACUGUGAGUCCCAGGGUUAUGAGGGGUCUUCUCCCCUACGUGCAUGCAAAUGGACUGAUUAGGGAGGGUUUACUUAGCAGGGCAUGGAGUUUGAGCAGAGCCAAGGGCAGGAGUUUUAUCCAUCCUGUUUUAAUUCGAGAGUCAGUUUUGUGAGAAUAUUUUUUAUGGUCUUGUUUGUCCUUUCAAUUAACAUUGAAUUUCCAGGGGAUUUGGCAGAGGUGAUGGAAGAAAUAAGUCUGGGGACAUUGUUUAACUGUAUGGAGGAGGGCAAUCCAAAGCAGGGAAUGAUCUGAGAGAGGAGUGGAUGAACAUAGUCUUUUAUUUGUGAUUGGGAAGGUCUUAGCCUAUCCUGAACAAGUAUCUACAAAUACCGGAAAGUACUUGUGUCUUCUGACUGGAGGCAUGUGAGUAAAAUCUGUCUGCCUAGUAGGAUGUCUGUCUAGUAGGAUGGAAGUUGUGGAAUGGGGGAGAGGGGCAAAGGUUGAAGUUAGGUUUAUCUUUUGGCAAGUCUCACAGGAGUCAGCUUUUGUGUUUGUUUUGUUUUGUUUUUGUUUUUCAAGACAGGGUUUCUCUCUGUAGCCCUGGCUGUGCUGGAUCUCGCUCUGUAGACCAGGAUGGCCUUGAACUCACAGAGAUCCGUGCCUCUGCCUCCCAAGUAGGAGUCAGCUUUUUGAGGAAUAGUUUAUUGGUGGAUGUAAAAGGUGACUGCCUGAAAAGAGAGUAGAAUCUGAUCAGAAGGGUGAAAUGGGAAGUACAGAUAGGUUAGGAUGUUGGGGUGAUGACAGUUGCGGAAGUGGUAAUUCGUGUGCACAGGAUGGGCUCUGGAGAUUGGAUUUUUGCUAUUGGGCUUGAUAUGGAUAUGAUGGGAUGGUCUGUUGAGCCAUUGAUCAGCCUGGUUGUCAAGAAGAGAGUGACUGUGUUUUUUAUGUCCCCUGUAGUGAAGGAUGGCCACUUGGGUGGGGAGGAGACUGUUUCAAAGAGUUCCUGUAUCAAAAGGGAGUUAAUAAUCAGGAAGCUCCCUUCUCUCCAGAUUAAGUUGUUGGAGUGUAUUAUGUUGUAGAUAUACCUGGAGUCAGUAUAUAUUGACCAUGAGGUUGGAAGCAAAUGUGAGAGCUUGGGUGUUGUCCGUUGGGAAGUUGUAUGAGGCGGUAGGGAUUUGGCUUCAACUAUGUGUGGACUUGUGCAGCUAGUCAGGUUUCCUUAAAGUGUCGUGUAUCCUGCCACGUAAGGGACUUGUUUGAGGGUGCUACCAGCUAGAAACUGAUGGCUAAGAGAACUCCAUUCUGGGAUAUUAUUAACUCACCACGACACUUGAGUGAUGGCCUAGAGCUUUUUACAGACUUCCAUACUAAAAUAAAAGUGGCUGAAGUGGUAGGGGAAAAAACAAACAAACAAAAAAGAAAACUCCCUUCUGUACCAGGUGCCCUCCUAGUAGCCAUUGUCCUUUGCACAAAAUUCCUGAAAGGUGGGCUCCUAGCAAUCUGUACCCUCCUCAGAAUGGUGGAACAGCUUGGUGUAAUGGUGUAAAUUAAGCACUUGCUCUGGCUUCUGUAAACUCGCUUAUGGCCCUGUACUGGGGAGUGAGACAGUUCCUGUAUUGCUGUAUACAUGGGGAGAGAGACAGCUCCUCACAUAGCGGAGGGGAGGGAAGAAGUUUCUCAUACAACUGCACAUCACAGAAACAAGACAAUAAUUGUGGUCUCUACCUUAAAAAAAACCCUUUAGCCCCUCCUGGGUGGCACACCUUUGAUUUGGCUGUAAGGCUGGCCCCCCUGCUAGCAAUUUUUAAUAAAUUUAACUAAUUACAAUUUGAA
Non-coding RNA from Peromyscus maniculatus bairdii (prairie deer mouse), 4764 nucleotides. NCBI's taxonomy places the organism in Eukaryota, Metazoa, Chordata, Mammalia, Rodentia, Cricetidae. The record is from RefSeq and is a predicted model, not a curated record.